RNAcentral lists this ribosomal RNA (281 nucleotides) under uncultured Staphylococcus sp. RNAcentral describes it as "partial 16S ribosomal RNA". It matches the Rfam family "Bacterial small subunit ribosomal RNA", at positions 505 to 781 of the family's 1533-position model. Lineage: Bacteria; Bacillati; Bacillota; Bacilli; Caryophanales; Staphylococcaceae. The record is from RNAcentral.
GUGCCAGCAGCCGCGGUAAUACGUAGGUGGCAAGCGUUAUCCGGAAUUAUUGGGCGUAAAGCGCGCGUAGGCGGUUUUUUAAGUCUGAUGUGAAAGCCCACGGCUCAAACCGUGGAGGGUCAUUGGAAACUGGAAAACUUGAGUGCAGAAGAGGAAAGUGGAAUUCCACUGUGUACGCCGGUGAAAUGCGCAGAGAUAUGGAGGAACACCAGUGGCGAAGGCGACUUUCUGGUCUGUAACUGACGCUGAUGUGCGAAAGCGUGGGGAUCAAACAGGAUUAG